RNAcentral lists this ribosomal RNA (500 nucleotides) under uncultured bacterium. RNAcentral's name for it is "partial 16S ribosomal RNA". It matches the Rfam family "Bacterial small subunit ribosomal RNA", at positions 28 to 507 of the family's 1533-position model. The record is from RNAcentral.
GACGAACGCUGGCGGCGCGCUUAACACAUGCAAGUCGAACGGAAAGGCCUGCUUUCCCUUGUGUUUUGCGGGUACUCGAGUGGCGAACGGGUGAGUAACACGUGAGUGAUCUGCCCCCAACUUGGGUAUAAGCCUGGGAAACUGGGUCUAAUUACCGAUAGGACUGCAGGGUGGUGCCUGUGGUGGAACACGAUUUUCUAGUGGUUGGGGAUGAGCUCGGGGCCUAUGCGCUUGUUGGUGGGGUACUGGCCUACCAAGGCGAAGACGGGUAGCCGGCCUGGGCGGGGGAGGGUGGACGGCGGCAUUGGGACUGGGAUACGGCCCAGACGCCUGCGAGAGGCAGCAGUGGGGAAUAAUGGACAAUGAGCGGAAGCCUGAUGCAGCGACGCCGUGUGGGGGAUGACGGCCUUGGGGUUGUAAACUCCUGUCGACCGCGAGGAAGCCACCUGGUUGGAAGGGUGGUGACGGUAGUGGUAGAAGAAGCACCGGCUAACUACGUG